RNAcentral lists this unclassified non-coding RNA (11834 nucleotides) under Leishmania donovani. Its description in RNAcentral is "gene:LdHU3.35.1360(CDS-product:Zinc_finger_C-x8-C -x5-C-x3-H_type_(and_similar)_putative)". The record is from RNAcentral. Lineage: Eukaryota; Euglenozoa; Kinetoplastea; Trypanosomatida; Trypanosomatidae.
GUUGAAAGAAUCACCGCAAGCAUCCUCACUACUACUAGUCUUCUUUAUUUUAAGCCUUCUUCUCUUCAACCCAACUGUCACCCCACCGCCCGCCCUCGCUACCUCACUCCCAGACCCGUGCCAUCGCUCAACUCUCCGACAUUAAGCAGGCACACACACCCUCCUCUCCAUCCCCGCUCUGCACCCCACCCCACCCCUCUCCCUCUUUGCCUGCUCUUUCAAGGACGGGAAAGCUGAGCAGACUCAAGAUGACGAGCCAGUCGCACGUGACCAUGUUCAAGAACACCGGCUCCGUCACGGAGCAACACAAGCGCAUCUCACAUACCACUGGCGACAACAACGAGGAGGAGAAACACAUUCUUGCUGGUCGCUACAAGACGAAGCUGUGCAAGAACUACGUGGCGAAGGGCGAGUGCCCGUACGAUGUGCGCUGCAUGUUCGCGCAUGGUGAGGACGAGCUACGCACCAGCGACGACAACAUCCGCGACGGUCUCGUCACUGAGGAAGCAAUUAAGGACUUCCAGCGUCAGCAGAACCAAGCAAAGCGCCGCGCAGCGUUUGCCGCCGCCCGCGAGCACAACAACCAUGACCACAGUCGCAGUCACAGCCACAGCCACAACGUACGCCCCGUGCCCCACCGCAACGUUUACGAGAUGGAGGAGAAUGUGGAGAGCAACGAGGUGUACCGCAACCGCCACCGCCACCACAAUCUGCGUCUGCAUCCCCAGCAAGAGCCCGUGUCUAUACCUCAGCCACAGCAGCAGCAGCAGCAAGAGCAGCAGUUCCAGCUGCAGAGCGCGGUGGCGCAGUACUACACACACAACCCGUACGUCUUCGACCUGAUCCCCGCCGCGGCGCGUCUGUUCCCAGUCUACCAAGAAGUUGUCGAGGAGGGCUGCUGGUACGAGGAGGAGCCGGUACCUGCUCAGGAGGACUACUACUUCCCGUCUUCGGAUAUGAUGAUGCCGCUUGUGCCGAGCUUGGUGACGCAGCAAUACCUGCCGUACCCGCACCAGCAGUGCGGCAAGCAGUUCGAGACGGUCGCCUCCGCCAGCACCUACAGCGGUGAGGAGGCCAUGUACGGCCACAGUGAGUCCUCGGCUAGCUCGGCGUACCGCUCGGUGGCGCGUUGUACGGCUGCUGAGCUCCCCAGCAACUCCGACAUUCCGGCGAUGGUGAUGGAGCCCUAAGACGCCACUGUUUGGACGACAAGGGCAGAACAUCAAAAAGCAAAGGACAAACAGAGCGAAAGAAAGCAGACGAUGUUUGCAUCGCAUUUUUCCCCAUCCCUUCCCUCCCCCUCUCACUCUCACUCUCUCCCCUGUCGUGAUUGAUUUGUCGCUCGUUACACCCACGCUCCCUUCUAGGGAGGUGAACGUGUGUCUUUGUGUGCGUGUGUUUAUUUUUCGUUGUUGUUUUUUUUUUUUGCUUUUGUUUUGUUGAUUGGUGUUGUGUGUGUGUGUGUGUGUGUGUGUGGGUGGGUGGGUGGGUGGGUAUGUGGCACACCCCCUCUUCUACACAAAGACAUGCAGAUAUGUCCAUGGCCAUCGUACACCCCCAUCUCCACCUCUCCCUUCAGGCCAACGCCCCCUCCCACUCCCUUAUACCACCACCGUCUCCGUUCAACCGAUCCACAGGGGAAGGUGGAAAAAGACGAGUUGCGAAACACACGCAAGAGAGGGAGGGGUGCAUAUGGGAACCAAAGCAAAUCAAGCAUAAGAGGGGAAGCAAAGAACAACCAAGAAGGCUAGUGUGUGUAUGUGUGUCUGUGUGUCUGUGUUUGUGUGUGUGUGUUGCUUGAUCGAAUCGUGUGUAUGUUCGUUUUGUUCUCGCUCGUGUUUUGUGUCCGUAUCUUUAUUUAUUUGCUCUUUUCUGUUUCGUUCUUUCUCUCUGUCUCUCUUUCCGUUGCUCUCCCGCUGUUUUUUUUUUGUUGUUGUCUCUUUUCUUGCUCCUUCCCUUCGUCUUUUUCGUAGGCUGCGUUCUGCUCUCACUCUCUGCCGCGCAACGCGUGUCUGCGUCUAUGCGUUUUUAUCUGCCCUUCCUCUUUCCCUGUAUUUUGCUUUUGUUUUCUUUUUUGUUUUGUGUUGGGUUUGUCAUCCCUUCCAUCUUCUUACCCGCGGCGUGGGUUUCGCCUCUUCUCACUGCAGACCUCUGUCUUCUCGCUGCAUCGCGAGCGUGUGCGCAUACGAGUGGAAGGGAGGGGUGGGGGUGCGUGUGUGCACGGAUUUGAAUGACGACGUACAUAUUUCCGCCCAUCCCAUCACUCGCCUCCCCGUCCUUCCUCCAUGGGAUGCACGUAAAGUGAGGCAGGCGGGCAAGGAGACUGCUCAGAUGGCGGAGAAGCCGGCAACGCUCAUCAAUGAGAAGGUCUACUGCUCUUGUAAGUGUGGUGGGCACGUGUACGUUGGUGUUGCUGCACGAGUGCCCGCAAGGUGUAUACAUUUAUGCAUAUGCGAGAGGCACCUCAGCAUAGCACAGCAACGGAUGAACAAGGCGCCCACGCAGAACAGUGUCGUCCCCUUCCACCACCACCACUCUCUCUCGCCCACCUUUAUGCGCCUUGCUCUCCUUCCUGCCGGUCUGAAGGCCUACAUCUGGUCGUGCACUGACUAACGGCAGGGAAGAGACGACAGGAAAGUAGAAGGCGAGGACGAAGCGCAUGUCGUGCGGUGUACUGUGUUUUUUCUUUCUCUCCAAUGGAUACCGAGAGAGAAACGCACUCUCAAACUUGCAGACGCUGACCGACAACGACUUGAAAAGAGAGUUGUUUUGAUAAAAAGGCAAAAAAGAAGUGCGCGCAACACACGGAGAUAUGAAGCAAAGUCCAAUAGUAAUAAAAGGAAACCAAAGAAAAAACGGGAGAUGAAGCAACAACGAAAAAAAGGUAAAACAGAUGAUACCCUAACGGAGCUGCUGGUCGCCGGCCACGACAAGAGAAAACCUUUUUUUUUUGAAUGGAGGGCUAGGCGAGGUUGGGGGGUGAGGAGCUGGGCGAAGAGGCUUGGGAGAUACGAGCGGGAUAAAGACAGAGGGAGAAGAGAGAAGCGCCCGUAUGCGCAUGUGUGCAUGUAUACGUGAGUGGAAGAACAUCAAGAACUCGCAACCACCACCACCACACCUGCACACACACACACACGCACAGGCACAACCACCCUCUCUCUCUUCCUCGUCUUCAUCUCUUCGUGUCCGGCCCCCUCUGUGCUUUUCGUUACAAACAUACACAAUGCGCAAUGUGUGUUUGUGUGUGUGUGUGUGAAAGAGGAGUGCGCCCCUCCCCCUUCCCACCUUGUCCUUGUAUGCGGCUAAAAAAAGCGGGGGGAGAAAAGCUAGAGCUGCCACGCAAGAGAAUAUAAAGCUCUUGACAAGUGAUUGCUUGCUUUUUUCUUUUUGAUUCCCUUUCGCUUUUGCCCCCUUGUUCAGCUUCGAUGUGUAGCCUCUCCCGCCCCACAUCCCACACACACACAAACUCACUCGAACUUGUCGCGUCCCUUCCUGUCUCCCAUGGUCGGUGUUGCUGUUUUUCGUUUCUCUUUGUUUCUCGCAUGCUGCUUCACUAUUUCCCCCCCCCCUUUUUUUUGCGGUGGUAGUGAUGGUCGCCGUGUUGGUGGCACUCAGAGACACUCACGCGCGCACGAACACACACUUAAGAUUUCAUAUAUGUAUAUAUAUACAUAUACAGCUAAAUAAGCAAGAACAAAAAAAAGAAAUUCAAAGCAGAGAAUAACGAGAUCCAAAAAGUUUUUUUUUUUACUCUCAUGUCUUUGUUUGUGUGUGUUCAGUUUUUGUUUUUUUGUUUUUUUUUGGGGGGGAGGGAGACACGGCAGUGGUAGAGUUGCAUGAUGUGCCUCUCCCAUUUUUAUGGUGUUUUUCUCGUGUGUUCUGUUCUGUUGCUGUUGUUCGCUUUUGGGGGAGGGGGUUUGGCGCCAGUGUGGGUCCGCGCAUAUGUGAGGGUAGAGGAGUUAUGUGGGUGUGCAUCCGCUCACUCUGUUCUCUCUCUUUCACACCUCCCCAGUAGACGAAGCCUCACGCACGCACACACACACACACACACACACACACACACACACAAAAAAAAAAAGAGUACACACAUACACCGGGAUGACGAGGAAGCAACACUCGUUGCAUGUUCCCUUCUUUGCUGUAUCGCGCAUACACUGCUCUUUCGAUUUGUCAUGGAUUUGUAUGCGUAUGUGUGAGUGGGUGUGCUUGUAGGCUCGACUGCCUUUUUUUCCUCUUCGUCCUCUUCACCCCCUUGGAUACACGUGAAACGGUUUUUUAAUGCUGGUCUGCUUCCUUUUUCCCCCUGUUAUGCUUUGAUCCUGUUGACUGUUGCUGCCCUUUUGUUUUCGGGUGUGUGCGUGUGCAUGUGCGCGUGUGGGUUUUUCGGUUCUCUCUUUCCUCGCCAUUUCUGGUGCUGUUUAUCUUCCCCUUUCUUGCUCAUCACCUGCCUGCAGCGCCCAGACGCUGCCACAUCGCCGAUGUUCCCCCUCUCUACUGCUUCCCCACCGCAUACAACGUAUACACUCGGACACAAACGCACCCUGUACGGAAACGAACCGAUAAGAUCAAAGAGCGCAAGAGACCAGACAUUGCUCCCCCCUCUCUCUCUCUCUCUCGGGAUGUCUGAACUCAUUCGAACGUGUGCGGCCCUUCGUGGAUGUAGAUUUACAUGUAUGGUCCGUGGGCGUGUGUCAUCGUAGCUUGCAAGAAGAAGCUCCUUUCCCCCUUUUUGAUGAUUGCUGUUUGAGCUCUCGUUCGCUGCCGCUUCUCCGUUUUUGUUUGUUUGUUUCGCGCACGCCUUGUGUUGUGUUGUGUUGUUGUUUGUUGUUGUUUGCUUCACUUGUGCUUGUUAGCUGUACGCUUUAGGCGUGGGAUUUGGGGGUGGUCCACGCGAUUAGGCGCACACGAAAAAGGGAGACACAAAAGCGAACGUGAAAAAAGAAUGGGGAGCAUAGCGAGCGAAAAGACAGCGAAAACAUUGUUGAAAACACAAAAAAAAAGAGGAGCAUACGGUAAAAUGACGAAGUCAUGGGCGGUGGAAGCGUAUUUGGGGGGUUGGCAGACGCACACGUUCUCAAAUGGCGGUGUGUAUAUGUGUGUGUGUGUGUUAUCAUUCUCUUGCAGUUGUUGGUGAAACACUCGCAAGCAACAACGUAUGCGUCCACGAAAUGGCAAAAAGAAUGGAAGCAGUAGUUCUACCGUGGGUAUGUACGUAGGAGUCGCACACCAAACUCGUGAAGAGGCGCUUCUCCUCGCUCGCUCCUUUCCUCUACCCAGGCAUCGGUUACGGAGGAAGGGGGGCAGAGAAGGAGGCUCGCUAUCACCCCUUGCCUUGCUUCGUCUGUGUGUCUCUGUGGGGCGGAUGAGAUUGGUGAUUACUCAUACCUCGACAUAAGCACACAGACGCAAGCAAAAACGCAACGGGACACUUUCCUUCCGGGGCCUCUCUCACCCUCGCUUCUCACUGUCUCUUUGUCUUUGCUAUCUGCACUUGUCCUCCCGUGCUGUUUGGUGCGGUUGUUUCUCCCGCGCCCCCCCCCGCCCCGCCCCCGUCGCUGCUGUGUGGCUCCUAUUUUCCCCGUUGUCGUCGUGCGCAGCCUUUGCCUGCACAUGCGCCGGCUUUGCGCUUUCACAUCGGAGCGUCGUGUGGCCAUCAGGCUUCUCAAAGCCCCUUCCUUCUCCUUGUUUGUCGUCUUUCUCCCUCCUGAACCCCUUCUUUUCCGCAUACAGAUGCUCGACUCGGAUGCAUGACACUUGCCAUUAUCGCCGUUGCUGAUAUCACCUUCUUUUCUUGUUUGCUUGCGUUGGAGGGUCACCUUCCUGCUUUCUGUUUUUGUUUUCGUCUUGUUUCUUUCUGACGUUGGUGUCUUUUUUUUUCUGGCUUCCUGUUUCGCCCUCUGCGUGCGUAUGUGUGUAUGCGUACAACGGGCUUGCAAAAGAAAGUGUGUGUGUGUGCGUGUGUGUCUGCGGAGGUGGAGGUGGAAGGCGCAUCAGGCGUUUCCUUUUCUUUCACUCAUUUCUACGCCUUCUCGUGUCUUUUGCUUCCUUUUCCUCACCCUCCUUUCUUCUUCGUGUACACGCUGGAUUUGCAGACACACACCCGUGUACGCGAGUGCAUGUUGCCGUCGCUUGUCGAUCACAUGUUGCUCUCUAUCUCUUACCGAAGUCCUGCCUGUUUUGUUUUGCUUUUUCGUUCUUUUUUGCGCUGCCUAUCUUUUUUUUUCUUUCGUCUUUCUUGUGGCGGCAUGUCUUCACGCUGAUGGGUGCUUCUUGGCUUCUCCACACGUGCUCUGUGUUUUACGAAGAAGUGUAUAUGUGUAUGUUUAUGUGUGUAUGUGGCAUGCAUUCUGUGGGCAACUCAUCCUUCUCCCAGCACGCUUCGUAUAUCUGUCUUUCUCCUACUCAGCGCUCUCUCAAUCACUCUCUCGUGGCUCAGAAUUCGACUCUGAAAGAUCGGAUGAUCGGUGUGGCUGACAGUAGAGUCGAUAGCACGAAAAAAGAAAAGAGUAAGAUGUGGAGGAAGAGGGGGAGGAACGGUGAACGUAGCCGAUGGUGACUGGGUGCAUGCGCAGCAUACAGCACACGGAAGGGUGCGCAUGGAUACGUAGCGGUCGAGAAGCAAAAGAAGACUGUGAAGAAGGCAGCGAAAGCACUGUUUGCGGUCCUCAUGACCCCCUACGCGCUGCUCUUGAUGCAGCGGCUACUCUCGCAUUCCUUGCUCUCUCUUAUCCAUUGUCAUCAGUUCCCUUGAGUUUGUGUGUGCGAGUCUAUCAAUCUGCCCUCUCACCCUCUCUCCGCACUCAGCCUUUUACACCUCUUCCUUUUUAGACGUCAAGCACCACGCCGCACAGCACACGCACGCUGCGAGCAGCAACGGAGGACCCAAAAUGAAGACAAGAGGCAACUUAAGCGCUUCUUUUUCUGCCCCCCCCCCCCACUUCCUCUGUGUGUGUGUGUGUAUGUCUUUUGCCUUCACCCCUCCUUCUCUCCCUCGACGCUGCAUGCUGUGGAGAAGACUGACGGCGCGAGAAGGUGAAUGAGCGCUAUCUCCUUUUCGGUGUUUUUUACUUGGUAUUGUUGUCGCGUGCUGAAGCAUCCACGUGCACACAAUGUGCGGUACUAGUCAUACGAAAAGGCUGGUCUCGCUGGGAAGAGGGAUGGGGGCUGUUGGCGCGAGAAGGGAAAGUAGCGAGAGAGAGAGAGGAAUCCAUAGAGUAAAGCGUCAGCAGGGAAGAGGAAAGACACUUGAACCGGCUGGCAGAGAGCAGUCUCUUGCUCUCUAGGUGACCAAAGAAACGUGUAGAAAUGCAGUGGUGCACCAUCGACGCAUGCACGAGAGUUAAGAGAGAGCGCGAUGCGAGAUCAAUGGGAGUCGGGGAGAAGAGUAGUAGGAUGCACGAGUUACACAGAAUAGCGGAGGAGAUUGAGUGUAUGUGUAUGCGUGUGUGUGUGUGUGGUUGGCGGGGUGUGCUGUGGCUGCGUGUUGUUCUUCUUUCGUGAAGGCCACUGCUGCCCCCGCCUCUCUCUCGCCCGUCAUGACCUCUAUUUAACGCCAUCUCCACCCAUUAAUGGAAUGGCCGCGCGUCCAUGCAACUCCCCGCUCUUAUUCUACGCAGCUGCUCACACUCUCAUGUGUCUUGCUUCAGUGGGCUUCCCUACUCUGGAGUGUCCUCUUGUGGACUGCUUGUGUUUGCUGAAGAUGGCCUUGUCCUUUCUCAUCUCUUGUUGCUGUGAGUUUGCAUGUUUGUUUGUUUUUUUUCGUUGGCUCUUUCUCUCUGGCCUUUGCACCCGCUCCUCUCCCUCUCUUUGAAAGGUCAGCAGCCCCUCCUCGUGCUUUUCCCCUUCAAUCCGGUUCACCCAUACAUAACGCGAGCCACCCUUGUGGGUCUUUUUCUUUGCGCAUGUGUGUACGUGUUUGUGUACCUCGCGGAGACGUUUUUGUUCUGUUUCAAGGUAUCUCCCUGCACUGUUUUUUUUUUCUUUUUGCUAGCCGAUCUCGUAUACUUUUGGGGGAGUUUUACUUGUAUGUGUGUGUGUGUCCCCCUCUCUCCCUCGUUCUCUCUCUCUUGUCCCUCUCCUCCUCUCCUCUGCUCGCUCUGCCGUGCAUCUUUUCGUAUACUCCCCUUUGUCUUUUAUGUUUUCUUUUUUGUUUCCGGAGGAAGGGGGAAAAAGGGGGCCUUCCUUUCCCUUUUUCGUUUUUUUUGGUGUUUCGCGCACCUCUUCUAUACCUUCAUCUCGAUAUCUUCACAUGAACGCGCACACAGGAAUACAAAACACGGAAAAAAAAAGAAGAGCGAAACAGCAAAAAAAAAAAGAAAAGGAAACCCAUCGCGCACACUAGGCACGCGCACGCAGAGAUAGGAGACGCAUGGGGUAAGCAACAAGAGAACGGAAGAUGUUAGGCACUUUUUUUUGUGAGUGAUUGACAUCAGCACGACGGAUCGCGGCAUAAGCUCAGUAGCGACAAUGACAAAAAAAGCACACAUACACACAUGCACAACGACAGCAGGAAAGAGAUGACGAUUUUGCUUUCAUCGAGGCUGCAAAAAGAAAUACACACAAAAAAAAAUAAUAAUAAAGAAAAACGAAACAGCGGGGAAUGCUUGUCGGGCAAUCCACACACGAGAACAAAGAGGAGCGUGAGUGCGGAGAAGAGCGAAAAGAAAUCAAAAAAAAAAGAAAUAAGAAAAGGGGAGAAGGAGAGAAGGUGGAGAAAGCAAGAAUGUAAAGAAAGAGAAUGUUACUCAGGUCACUGUGCAGAGCUUCGCUUUCGCGCGUGUGUUUCUUGGCAGAGAUGCUUUUAUGUGUAUUGGCUCCCCUUUUUCUCUCACUCCAUUGUACACGUCGUCGAGGUGCUCUUCAUGUUCUUUUUUAGCGUGUGUGUGUGCCGCCCUGUCUUUCUCUUGCCUCAAGGCCCUUUGCUUAAAAUGCUCUCUUCUUCUCCAUCCCUUUUCUUAUAAAAAGUCUUCUUUUCUCCCUGUAGCCCACUUUGGCCGUCUGGCCUGCUCUCUUUCUGCAAGUGGAUGUUCCGCACUUCUUCUCCGCUUGUUGCUAUUGCUGUUUUCACUAGAUCCUUUUCUUUUUGCGUCCUUUCUUUUUUACCUCUGCCCCACACUUUCACCUCUCUCUCUCUCUUCUAUGCAUCUCACAUCUGCGCGCUGGCUCAGCAGAGCUCGCCUUUCGUUUGUUAUUGCUGCUUUGUUUUUGUUUUUGUGUGUAUGCGUGUUUGUUUGUGUCUUGGUUUGUUUUGCGCUUGUGCUCUCGCCGGUAUAAGUUCUCCAUGCCUCCUCCCUCCCUCUGCACGAUGUUUGUGUGUGUGUGUGUGUGUGUGUGUUUUAUUCUCCUAUCACUCAUGUGUUUGUGCGCUUUUUAUUGUAUGUUUGCUUUUUGUGUGUUUGUGUGUGUGUGUGUGUUUUCUGAUUUCUCUGUCCUGUGCCACAUUUUUUUUUCGCCCCAUCUCUCGCCUCUUGCGUUGUUUGCUUGCUUUUGACACUUUGCUACCUGUUCUCCUUUUCUCUCUCUCGAUCUCUUUCAAUUUCUUCUCGCUUCGCUUGCUCUUUCUUUCAGCACUCGCUUCCUUUCACCCUCACCUCCUCCCCCCCCCCUCCCUCUUCUCCCUCUGGCUGCCUGUCUCGAUAGCAUACCGUGUGCGUUUUCUUUUUUUUAUAUAUAGUUUUCGAGCACGGAAAGGACGAAGAAGAAACGAGAAACAGCUUUCUAUCUCCCUCCCACCUACGUAUCGCCGUCACGCGCGCGCACAGGCACAAGCACGCGCAUGACAGCAUAUUGAUGCCCUGCUUCUUUUAUCCCUUGCUGUGUUUUCGCUUCUUUUUCUUUUUUUUUCCUUUUCGAGUGUGCUUUGGUGGGUUUUCACGUCCUUCCUACCUUCAUGUGGCUCAACCACACCACCACCCCUUCUCUCUGUCUUCUCUCUUGUUCGAACAGAUACGCCCUUCCUCCUCGCUUCUUUCCUCAUUCACUCGAGGGCCCUUCUACCCACCCACCUCUCUCUUUCUCGUCCUUUGUUUGUCCUUCCACGAUCUUAUCCUCCCUUCUCCAUGUGUGUGUGUGUGUGCCACUCUCUUUCUCUCUUCACAUUCUUCCUCUCCAUUUUAGCGUUCAUCUUUUGGGGUUUGUUUGUAUGUUUGCGUCUGUUCUUUUUAUUUCUGUUUUAUUUUGGGGGUUCGUUUCCGUUUUUGUUGGUGCGCGCGUGCUGCUCAGUCACGCUGUGUCCAUUUUCCUCCCUCCCCCUCCCCCUCCUCUCAAACCAUUACCGCCUUUACACCUGUCUUUGUUGCCUUCGUCCCGGGCUGAACCCCUCCUUCUCUCACCAUCUCCUACAUGCCAUCAUCUUCAUCUGCACCCUCUCUCUCUUGAGCGCUUUUUCCCCCUGUAAUUUGCGUCUCGACUUUGUUUUACCUGCGCAUGCCAUGAUUGCCUCUCUCUCUCUGUUUUAUUGUUGUUUUCGGUUCUGUUGGUGCUGUUUUCUUGCUUUGCUCCCCCGCCUCCAGUCCUCCACCCUUUCAUCGCGCAACACGUUCAAACACACUUUUCGUGAGGGACAGGCCAUGAUCAAUCUAUUGGCUUGCGGGUUUCGCUCUCUCCUUUUUGUCGGGUGGCGGUCAGCUAUGCGCUACACACGCACACACGGCAUAACAAGGAAAACAGAAACUCCGUUGUGUUCUGCGACUGUUUCUAGUGUAUGCGCGUGCGGGUGUGUGUUUUUCUUUUUAUGUGGGUGUGAUUUCUCAGCAGGACGUACACGGACGUCAACGGGGCCUCUUCCUUGGUUUCUUUGCUUAUCUCUUCGCUUUCUUUUUUUUUGACGUGAGCGUUCCAGAGCACAUCCCCAUACGCAUACACUUUCUCUUGCUCGCUCACUUUAAUGUGCUCACACAGGCGGCGGUGCACAUACAUACACCGCUUCACAUGCCCAGAGACAUGCCCCAUCCCCUUCUACCUUGCCUUCGUGCUUUGUGUUUAUCUGUGUGUGUGUGUGUGUGUGUGUGUGCAACGUACGAUUGUGUGUACGUGCGUGGGUAAAGUGGUCUGUUGACGUCUUUUCUGAGUUUUGAACUGCAGGCUCGAACUGGUGGAGAGAGGAGCGAAUCAGAAAAAAAAAACAGCAAAAUUUGACUUUUAAAGGCAACAUGCAAAAGAAGGAGAAGUGAGUAGGAUGAGGGAAAAAAAAGGCAUAAAAACGGUUGGGAAGGAUUGAACAAGCACGCAAGAAUAAGCGAAACACAACAGCAAUUAAAAAAAGAGCCGUGGUCACCAAAGAACAAAAAAGUCGGCUUCGCACAUGCUGCCGUUCGCAUGCGUAUUUCACUGCUUCCUUUGCUUGGUCCUGAGUUCACGAAACGAAGUGCCUCAACCCCUUCUUGCCGCCGCGCCCGUCGCCUCUCGAAGCGCACAUACACAAACGCACACGGCUGUAUUUUCCUGUUUCUUUCUUCGGUGUAUGCGUGUGUAUUUUCUGCGUUACUGGUGAGGAAGAGCCCUUGUCACUACCCCCAGCCCCCGUCGCACGUUUCUCCUCUGCAUUAUCCACGCCAGUCGUACUUGUUAGAGGGGGUCAGUAGAGCAACUCUGCAGGUGGUGCGCAGCGUCACCGUACGCGCUCCCACUCUCCCUCUCUCUCUGGACUCACUUGUCUUCUUCGGCAGCUAAGCUGCUUUGCAUGUUUGUUUCGAUCUUGUGUGUGCUGCCCUGCCUUUCUUGAGUUUCUUUUUUGUUUUCGUUUCUUUCUCCCUCGCGCCUCUUGCGUGCGAAGUGCGAGUCGCGUAUGCCUUCGUCUGUCUGUGUGUGAUUGAGUCGUAACUCCCGCAGAGAAC